AGCAGGUUGCCGAGCGAGGACGGUUCCGUCAUCAGCAACGAAUCAGAGAAGCUCAACUCUGGUCGGGGCUCGGCGGCUCAGAAAGUCACAGCACAGCAGAAAUUGACAAAGGAGGAGACACGCAAGAAGAACGAUCCCUACGACACCUCGUUUGGUUCCCUGCAGCUUAUUUCCAUAAAGCCCAUGACUGCUCCGCCCACCUAUUCACACCCCGCCUCCUCUGACCGCAGCCAAGACUCAGCCAUCCUCAAUGGAAAUGGAGAGGUGAACCUAGCUCUGAAGCAGAAGUCCGACAUAGAGCACUACAGGAACAAGCUGAGGCUGAAGGCCAAGAGGAAAGGGUACUAUGACUUCCCCUCAGCGGACGGCAGCGGGAG
This is a long non-coding RNA of Oncorhynchus gorbuscha (pink salmon), 377 nucleotides long. RefSeq lists it as uncharacterized. The record is from RefSeq and is a predicted model, not a curated record. The transcript is spliced from 3 exons. NCBI's taxonomy places the organism in Eukaryota, Metazoa, Chordata, Actinopteri, Salmoniformes, Salmonidae.